GUCCCCGUCGGUUAACAGGAUAAACCCCAGACCUCCUAAGUCUGUACUAGAGGUUCGAGUCCUCUCGGGGACGCCA
RNAcentral lists this transfer RNA (76 nucleotides) under Gammaproteobacteria bacterium. RNAcentral describes it as "tRNA-Arg". It matches the Rfam family "tRNA". Rfam says of the family: Transfer RNA (tRNA) molecules are approximately 80 nucleotides in length. Their secondary structure includes four short double-helical elements and three loops (D, anti-codon, and T loops). Lineage: Bacteria; Pseudomonadati; Pseudomonadota; Gammaproteobacteria. The record is from RNAcentral.